RNAcentral lists this ribosomal RNA (484 nucleotides) under uncultured bacterium. RNAcentral's name for it is "partial 16S ribosomal RNA". It matches the Rfam family "Bacterial small subunit ribosomal RNA", at positions 30 to 507 of the family's 1533-position model. The record is from RNAcentral.
AUUGAACGCUGGCGGCAGGCCUAACACAUGCCAGUCGAGCGGAUGAAGGGAGCUUGCUCCUGGAUUCAGCGGCGGACGGGUGAGUAAUGCCUAGGAAUCUGCCUGGUAGUGGGGGAUAACGUCCGGAAACGGGCGCUAAUACCGCAUACGUCCUGAGGGAGAAAGUGGGGGAUCUUCGGACCUCACGCUAUCAGAUGAGCCUAGGUCGGAUUAGCUAGUUGGUGGGGUAAAGGCCUACCAAGGCGACGAUCCGUAACUGGUCUGAGAGGAUGAUCAGUCACACUGGAACUGAGACACGGUCCAGACUCCUACGGGAGGCAGCAGUGGGGAAUAUUGGACAAUGGGCGAAAGCCUGAUCCAGCCAUGCCGCGUGUGUGAAGAAGGUCUUCGGAUUGUAAAGCACUUUAAGUUGGGAGGAAGGGCAGUAAGUUAAUACCUUGCUGUUUUGACGUUACCAACAGAAUGAGCACCGGCUAACUUCGUG